Molecule: ribosomal RNA, 389 nt
Filed under: uncultured bacterium
Lineage: Bacteria
Description: bacterial SSU rRNA
Rfam family: Bacterial small subunit ribosomal RNA
Source: RNAcentral
AUUGAACGCUGGCGGCAUGCCUUACACAUGCAAGUCGAACGGCAGCACGGGAGCAAUCCUGGUGGCGAGUGGCGAACGGGUGAGUAAUAUAUCGGAACGUGCCCAGUCGUGGGGGAUAACGUAGCGAAAGCUACGCUAAUACCGCAUACGAUCUAUGGAUGAAAGCGGGGGAUCGCAAGACCUCGCGCGAUUGGAGCGGCCGAUAUCAGAUUAGGUAGUUGGUGAGGUAAAGGCUCGCCAAGCCGACGAUCUGUAGCUGGUCUGAGAGGACGACCAGCCACACUGGGACUGAGACACGGCCCAGACUCCUACGGGAGGCAGCAGUGGGGAAUUUUUGGACAAUGGGCGGCAAGCCUGAUCCAGCAAUGCCGCGUGCAGGAUGAAGGCCU